Molecule: unclassified non-coding RNA, 218 nt
Filed under: uncultured fungus
Lineage: Eukaryota; Fungi
Description: sequence contains ITS2
Source: RNAcentral
AAUUCUCAACUCCCCUCGGAUUCCAUCUGUAGGGUGAGCUUGGACUUGGAGGUUUCUGCUGGCGCUCGCCGGCUCCUCUUGAAAUCAUUAGCUUUGAGCUGAUCUCGAUGGCUUGACCGGUGUGAUAAACAUCUACGCCGAUUUGUGCCGUCCUGAGCGACGAACGCCGGAGACGCUCUGGCUUAUAACUGUCUUCACCAGAGGACGAUGUCCUGAAC